RNAcentral lists this ribosomal RNA (253 nucleotides) under uncultured bacterium. RNAcentral's name for it is "partial 16S ribosomal RNA". It matches the Rfam family "Bacterial small subunit ribosomal RNA", at positions 524 to 776 of the family's 1533-position model. The record is from RNAcentral.
UACAGAGGUCCCGAGCGUUGUUUGGAUUCACUGGGCGUAAAGGGUGCGCAGGUGGGUUGGCAAGUUUGAUGUGAAAGCCCCGGGCUUAACCCGGGAAUGGCAUUGAAUACUGCUGAUCUGGAGGAUCGGAGGGGGGACUGGAAUUCUUGGUGUAGCAGUGAAAUGCGUAGAUAUCAAGAGGAACACCAGUGGCGAAGGCGAGUCCCUGGACGAUACCUGACACUGAGGCACGAAAGCCAAGGGAGCAAACAGG